This 467-nucleotide ribosomal RNA is filed under the name uncultured bacterium. RNAcentral's name for it is "partial 16S ribosomal RNA". It matches the Rfam family "Bacterial small subunit ribosomal RNA", at positions 28 to 507 of the family's 1533-position model. The record is from RNAcentral.
GAUGAACGCUGGCGGCGUGCUUAACACAUGCAAGUCGAACGGAAAGGCCCAAGCUUGCUUGGGUACUCGAGUGGCGAACGGGUGAGUAACACGUGGGUGAUCUGCCCUGCACUUCGGGAUAAGCCUGGGAAACUGGGUCUAAUACCGGAUAGGACCACUUCUUGGAUGUUGUGGUGGAAAGUUUUUUCGGUGUGGGAUGAGCUCGCGGCCUAUCAGCUUGUUGGUGGGGUAAUGGCCUACCAAGGCGUCGACGGGUAGCCGGCCUGAGAGGGUGUACGGCCACAUUGGGACUGAGAUACGGCCCAGACUCCUACGGGAGGCAGCAGUGGGGAAUAUUGCACAAUGGGCGCAAGCCUGAUGCAGCGACGCCGCGUGGGGGAUGACGGCCUUCGGGUUGUAAACUCCUUUCGCUAGGGACGAAGCGUUUUGUGACGGUACCUGGAGAAGAGGCACCGGCUAACUACGUG